UUUUAAUAUUACGUUUCAAUAUUUUAAUUUGAUUUGAGUCUACUUAACUUUAAAAUUUGAAUGCGUCGUUUAUUUUUAUAUUUUUAGUUAGUAUACUUCAUGCAAUUCUCGCGAGUAUAAAUUUAUUAAAAUAAGUAAUUAGCUUAAAUUUUAAAAGUCAAAGUAUUAGUGACUAACUUAAAUCAAAUAAAUUGAAAAGUUCGACAGUAAAUUCAAAAUUUUAGAAAACUAUAUAGCAAAUUUAGAAUGAUCUAUAGUUCAUAUAAGUUUUAUCCACAUUAAAAUAUUAUUCUAUGAUAACUUUUUAAGCAAAUCAGUUAUUUAAUAUUAUUUAACAAUGUAAAUCACGUUCCAAUAAAGAACAUAAUUUUUAUCACAAAACAAACAUCGCUGUAUCCAAACUCUACUGCUAUUCUAUUCAAGCAGCUACUCUAGCUUCUACAUGUUUUCCAAACACACUACACAUUACUAAACCUAAUUAAACCAAAUUAUACCCAUUUUUUUAUCCACAUAUGAGCAAAAUAAUUCAUAAACUGGGCCACUCAUGUGAGACACCUAUGCAUAUACACCAAAUACUACACAGCAAAAAAAUCAAUAAUAGUAAUAUUUGGUAAUUAGUUUUUAAUCUCAUAUGAAUUUAACAGAGUUUGCAAAUAAGGGUAGAUUUGAAAGAAUCUAUAUAUUUAAAGAGAUAUUUAUGAUAUUACUGAUUUUGUGAGGGUAUUUACGAUAUUAUUAACCUUUUGAAGGGCACCAGUGAAAUUAACCCUAUUAUUACUACUACUAGGUGGCAUUAAAGUUGGUCAAAUUGGCCAACACCUACCUUUGUCACACCUCACUUAUUAUUAUUUUUUUUAUUUUCUAAUUUUUGAUGCCCUACCUCUGGGGGUGAAAACAGUAGAAUACCAUUGACUAUUUUUACAAAAUUAUAUCCGCAUUCAUAUUUUUAAUUCAGAUAUAAAUUCAAAUGUGAAUUACGAGACGCUACAUUUUUCUUACUAUAUUUGCUAAAAAAUGAAUUUGAAUUCAGAUAUGAGUCUGAUUUGUAUUUCAAUAUUAUUCGGACCGUAAUAUAUACUAAUAUGCAUAUAUAUAUAUAUAUAUAAGAUAUAUAGUGCAAUUAAAAAUUCACACUCGUAUUCAAACUUUGUAUACUUAUAUUUUAUUCAAUAAAAUUUAAUAUUUUAAUGAAUAUAAAUUAUAGUUUUAGUCUAUAAUUUAUAGUAAAAUAAAUAAAAAAUAUGAUAAAAAAUUAUUUUAUCCUCCUACCAUAUAUAUUAACAUUCUUCUUAGGAAAAACUUCAAAAACCCUCCCUGUGGUUUCGUAGUUUCUCACUUCGCCCCCUUGUGGUUUAAAAUGUAUCAAUUUGCUCUCCUGUGGUUUCUUUUUUCUCUUUUUCUUAUCAAUUUCAUUAUUUUUUUUUCCUUAAAUCAAUGAUAAAGUUAAAAUUAAAGAGUACUAAAAUGAAUAUUUGAUAAAUCUAAAUAGGUAUCUGAAGUUUUUUGUAUAUAAUUUAAUGAAAUAUUAACGAAAAAGCUACCGAAAAGAUAAAAACGAAACCACAGGGGGGCAAAGUAAGAAACUACGAAACCACAGGGAGGGUUUUCGAAGUUUUCUCUUCUUGUUAUCUUUUAGAGGUAAAAAAAAGUUGGAAUACGAUCAAAUAUUCGAAGAAACUAUAUUUGUAUUCGUAUUUUUUUCAGAUAUGAAUAUGUGUCGAAUAUUAAAUUUUGAUAUCCGUAUUUAUUUUUUAUCAAAUCCGAUGUCAGAUUUGAUCUGAGAUUAUCCUAACCACUUUCACCUCUGCCUACCUCACUACUUCUCAGAUGACAAAUCCACCUAUCAGGAUAAUAAAUUGCUGCCAACCGGACACGUUAGCCUUUUGGGCACUCUUUAGAGUGGAUAAAAUGAUAUUUAAGUAAAAAUGGAUAAAAUAAUAUUUAAGUAAGACUUUUAAAAAAAUAUAAAAAAAAAUUUUCAAUUAAUUUAGUACUCCGUGAUUUUAUUUUUCUCUUUUUAUUAUCCCCUUCAUUAAUUUUUUUGUUAAAUCAGUGACAAAGCCAAAACUAAAAGAUACUAAAGUAAAUAUUCGAUAAACCUAGACGACGUAUCUGAAGUUUUUUGUACUUAAUUUAACAAAGUGUCAACGGAAGUGCUGACGAAAACAGAAAAAUAAAACAACAUGGUACUAAAUUGAUAUACUUUAAAUCAUAAAGUACUAAACUAAGAAAGUGUGAAACUAUAGAAAUAGUAUUUGAAAUUUAUCCAAAAAAUAUUUUAUACUGUUUUCUUUUAGAAGAAGAAGAUUAAAUUGAAGGUUUUUGGCCUUAGACCUAGUGUUAAUAUAUUUUGUGAUUUUUCAAAAGAAUGUGAUCGAAAUUGCAAGAGAAUGACAUUUUGGUGAAAUUCAAACUCAAAAUAUUUUACUCGGAUAUCAUGUGAUAUUACAUUACACGACUAUUAAUCCCUCUAAAUUAAGCUAAUAAAGUUACUUAAUUACGGUGUUCUAAUAUUUUCUAUUCAAUAUAUCUUGCCUAAAUGUUCCAAAUUAUUUUCAAUAUUUUGAAAUAUCUAAAGAGUUCAAAAAAGUUCUCAAUCUUUUCUAUUUGGAUGCUUUAAAAUAAUUGUUAAAAUCGUCAAUGGAGAAGUAUGCGAAUAUUCAUUUGGUCGAAAUCCUUACCAUUGUUUUAUAAAAUUAUUUUUUAUUCCGCUAAUUUUUAGAUAGCGGUCAAUAAAUUUAUUAUUUUAGAUAAAGUCUAACAACUUUAUAAAAAAAAAAGUUAAAUAACAAAACAAAUCUAAACUUUAAAUUCUUUCAAAUUGUUUUUAGUUGUUUAUUUAUAUAUAUAUAUAUUUUAUUAUUAUUAUUAUUAUUUUUGAGAGAAAGGUAGCACGCUACCUGCUUCAUUCAUUAAGUAAGUGAAUUUAGUUACAUAAAGUGAGGCAGCCAAUGCCUCGAGGAGGAAAUAAAAAAAUCAACAUAGAAAGAAAAAAAGCAGAAGAAACAGAAAAAGAGUAACAUAACAACGAAAACACGAAAAGACGAAAACACGAUAAUAAGCGUCAAAGGUAGGGUGUAACAAACGUCGUCGUCGCCCAACUCUACGGAAAUCGGCCCACUCCUUCAUUAGUACUUCGACACGAUGGGCAAUAGAUAUAGUAUUCAUCGGUAGCAUCCGAAAAAUCACAUUGUUUCUUUCACACCAGAUCAACCACCACGUGGGUAUUCAUUGGUAACAUAUCAAUAAUAUGUAUUUUAUUAUUGAUAUGUUAAAAUGAUGUGAAUGUAUGCUCUGCCAUAUUUAACUAAUAUUUUAUUCGAGCUUUUUGGCGUGUUUGGUUCGCUUCUUUUUCACCCUGGAAUCGGAAUCGGAAUGGGUAAAUCCGUUUGUGGGUGUUUGGUACGCGGGAGUCUCAUUCCGAUUCCGAUUCCCGAGUGGAAUGGGAAUCCCCCAAUAACCUUUUUUUUCAAUCCGGCCUAAGAGGCCGGAUUGAAAGUUGAAUCCGGACGGAAUGGAUAUUUAUUCGGAUUAAAUUUAUUUUUUAAAAUUUUUAAUUAAAAUAUUAGUUAAAAUUUAAAAAUUAAAUAUAUAAUUUUAAAUUUUAAUUUGAACUUAAAUUAAAAAUUAAAAUUUAAUUAAGUAUUUCGAAUCUAACUUAUGAAUUUGAAUUUAAAUUAAAUUUUAAUUUAUAUAAAGUUUUAUUCAAAUUUUAUUUCAAACUUAAAUUAAAUUUAUGAAUUCAAAUUAAAAUUUAAGUUUGAAUUUAAAUAAAUCAAAAUUUAGUUUCAUAUUUUGAAGUUUCCACUCAACUUCAAAGUUUAAUUUUUUUUAAAAAAAUAGAUUUAAAAUUUAGACAUUAUUUCAAAAUUUUGAUGUAAAAUUUCAAUAUUUAAUUUGAAUUUAAAUUAAUAUAUUAUAAGAUAAUGUUAGUAUAUUAAUUUGAUUACGUUUUUUAUAUCUACCUGAACCAAACACCGACAAUGGGAAUGAUUUAUUCCGAUUCUGAUUCUGGGGAUGAACCAAACGGAAUUAAGUAAUGGAUCAUUCCGAUUCUGAUUCCACCUUAUUUUGAUUCCGAUUCCGAUUCCGAUUCCGACUCUGACUUCGAACCAAACACGCCCUUUAUGUAGAACUAGUGUAGGAACCCGCGCGAUGCGGCGAAUAAAAAAUUUUUAGUAACAAUUUAUAGAAUAAAUAAACAAAUAUAGAACAUAAAAAAGAAAAAGAAGAAUAUAAGUAUAUUUGAUUGAAAACAUUACAUAUUUUCUCAUAAUGGUAGACCAAAAGCCACUGAAAAAAGAAAGUAAAUGUGAAUAAAUGAAACGGAAAAUAAAGAGUCAUUUAAAAAAAUAAAAUAAAUAUUUUUUUUAGAGAAGAGAAAAAAUGACUUAGGGCCCACCUCCCUCAAAUUAAAAAGGUACAUCCACAUAGGAUUUAGACAUGAAAAUUCAUAUAUAAAUAUAGAUAAUAUAUUUAUUACCUUAUAGAAAUUGUGAAGUUUUUGAAAAAAAAAAAAAAAAACUUCAAAUACCGUCCCUAUGGCUUCAUGCUUUCUUACUUUAGUAUCAUGUGGUUUAAAAUAUAUCAAUUUAGUACCAUAUGGUUUUAUUUUUAUCUUUUUAUUAUUGAUUUCAUAAUUUUUUUCGUUAACUCAGUAACAAAGUUAAAACUAAAGGGAACCAAAGUGUAUAUUCAAUAAACUUAGGUGAGGUAUUUGAAAUUUUUUGUAUAUAAUUUAACGAAAUAUUAAAGAAAAAGCUGACAAAAAGAUAAAAAUGAAACUAUAAAACACUAACUUGAUACGUUUUAAACCAUAGGAUACUAAAGUGAUAAAGUGCGAAACCGCAGGGUAGCAUUUGAAGUUUACGCAAAAAAAAAUAAAUAAAAUAAUUAUGCUAUAUUAUAUAGUAUAGCAUAAUUAAAUAAACCAAGAUAAAAAAUGAUGAUAAAAAUAAUACCAAAAAGUGAAAAUAAUAAGAUGCAAAAGUAUGAAAAUGGGCAAAUGAGUCACCAUCGUUAUGGUGGGUCCCCCAAAAUCCACAAACGGCCGCGAUGAUGUACAGUAAAUCUCACCAACGGCCGACGAAGUCCCACGUGGACCACUCUUAUCGACAGACAAACGGCUACCGUUGGUCCACGUGGCACUCUCGAUGCGAUAUGAGGACCAAGAUCCAACGGACCCGGCCAUUCCCCUCCACCCCCUCCCCCACCCCUCUUCUCUCUCUCUCUCUCCUCUCUCUUCUCUCUCUCUCUCUCUCUUCUCUCUCCUCCGUAGAUGCAGAGAAGGGAAUUAAAUCUCCAAUUUUCACAAUUUCUAAAGCUUUUCAGGAACGCGUUUUAUUGGCUUCUUCCACUACUUUUCCAGUUCAAAGAAGCCCUUUUUUUCCUUUUUUUUUUAAAAUCCAUGUUGUGACUUUUCCCAGCAAAUCAAAAUUUCCCAAAGUAGCUCCUCUAUUUAGUAAGAUUCGAUUUUUUCCUUUUUUUUNAGUACAGCGGCGGCGGGGGCGGCGGCGGGGGGUCGGCGUCGUCGGCGCGGGAGCAGGACCGGUUCCUGCCGAUCGCGAACGUGAGCCGGAUCAUGAAGAAGGCGCUGCCCGCGAACGCGAAGAUAUCGAAGGACGCGAAGGAGACGGUGCAGGAGUGCGUGUCGGAGUUCAUCAGCUUCGUGACCGGGGAGGCCUCCGACAAGUGCCAGCGCGAGAAGCGCAAGACCAUCAAUGGCGACGACCUCCUCUGGGCCAUGUCCACCCUCGGCUUCGAGGACUACGUCGAGCCCCUGAAGGUUUACCUCCACAAGUUUCGCGAGAUCGAGGGCGAGAGGCAAGGCACCGCCUCCGCAUCCGCCUCUGCCUCCGCCGCUCAGUCGCAUCAACUGUCGCCUAACGAAGCCAAUGUCGGUGGCGGUUACGGCGGCGGGGGGAUGUUCGCGGGCAGUGGAAUGAUGAUGAUGGGUCAACAACAUUUGUAUGGGUCUAACCCUGGAGCUCUGUAUCAUCAGCAUCAUGAUCAUCAGUUUAAUCAUUUGAUGGGUAUGAGUAUGGAUCAUGGAAAAAGUACACCGAGGGGAAGCGGUGGCGGCGGCGGCGGUGGCGGCGGAUUCGGCGGCGGAAGUUCGGGUUCUUCAGGGAGCAAUAUUGGAAGGCAAGGUGGGGUAUGAUGAUUAAUUUUAGUUAUUAAUUGUAGUUUUUAUUAUUAUUAUUAUUAUCAUAAGAUGAUGAUGCAUGCUCUUGUUUUGCAUAUAUAUAUAUAUAUAUAUAACUUCUUGUAGAUUCCUGUUAGAGGUUGGGUGGUUAAUUUUCCUUGAUGAGAUGUUAUAUAUUAGCUUGUUAAAGAGCCCAAAAAAAAAAAGUUAAUUAUGUAAAUUGAAGUUGCCCUUCUAUUCUCUUUCUUUUGUGUUUUGGUCUAAAAAGCUUUUCUUUUGGUUUUGAUUUUUUUAUUUAAGUACUAUAUGGCUAAAUUGCUUUAGUAAUUUUAAUUAGUUUUCAAUGCUCAAUUAAUGGAAUUAAAUGUACUAAUUUAAACCUAAUGAGCUUAAUCAAAGCAAUAAUAUCAUGUGAUGUAGCAUUUUGUACUAUUGUUGAUUUUGUAAUACUAGUUUUUUUCUUUUUUAAACCGGUUUAGUUAUUAGAAAAGUCUGAUUUUGACAUUAAUAUAUAUUCAUCAAAUUUGGUCAUCUCUUUCAGACUGAAUUCGACUAAAUUCAAUAAAUUGGAUCAGUCUCGCGUAAGAAUGUUAUAUCAACAUCAUUUUUUUGUUUCAACGAGAUGUUUCAUAAUGUAAAAUAUCAUGUUUUCAUUUUUUUCAUUAAAUUGUAAAACCUUACUAUUUUUGGGUUGAAAGAUCUUGUAUUAUAUGAUGAUGAUAAUGGAUAAAAAAGGAGAUAAAACUUAUAAUAGAGAAGUGAUGAACAUGAACAUGGUCCUUUUCUUUUUCCUCUCCUUCUCAUGUGUUUAACAUGAAAAUUGCUUCCCUUUUUCUUUUUCUUUCUAAAUUGCAUGAAAUACACAUCAUUUUCUCCUCUUUGGGGAUGUGUACAUAGGUUGUUAGAUUUCAUUCUCAAAGACCAAGUCUUUGAGGAGAGGCUUGGAGUGACAUGGACUUGGAUAAUUGGCUAGGUCCUUGUGAGUGUUAAAAUGCCCUAAAAAGGGUGUUUCCAAGAUCCUCUAAGAAAGGGCUCUCAUUGGCUAAAAAGGAAAUUUUCUUCUUCAUAUGUGGCCAAGGCUAUGCUCUUUUUUAUUUUUUAUUUUUCCCUCUCUAUUGUAGUACAUAUGUUGUCCUUUUUAUUUUGGAUAAUAAUAGAGCAAAUAUAUUGUCCUUUUGUUCACGGAUUUUGUAGAGUUACUAUACUAUCAGAAGUAUAGAGAAUUUAAUACUUUUGACUUUUUAAUUUUUGGAUCAAGAAUUAUACAGUUGGAUGAUUGCGGUCCUCUCUAGGAUUGAAUAGUAUCCUUAAGGUUAAGUAAUCUCCACAGAAUAAUAAUAUUGAUCUAAAAAUUUGAAAUAAUCUAAAAAAUUGACCUAAGAGUCAAAAAAUCGGAAGCACCAGAUCAAAAGGUUAGAUUUUUUUCCUCUGUAUUGUAGUAGAUUUGUUGUCCUUUUUAUUUUGGAUAAUAACAGAGCAAAUAUAUUGUCCUUUUGUUGGAGGAUUUAGAGGACAAAUGCAUGUUCCAAAUCCAUACCUAAUGUGACAAAAUGUCUAGGAGCCCUUUUUUUUUUUCAACAUGCAUUAGGUGUGGGUUAAAUCCAAAUGAAAUAUGUAGAGUUUUUUUUUCUCCUGCAGUAGCACCAUAAACUUGAAUCUAAUUUUGUGAUAUUAUCAUAUGAAUAACUACAGUUGAAAGACCAAAUUAGAAGCAAAUAAGAAACUGUGAAUUCGUCCGUAAGCAGAUAAAAAUUAAAAAUAUUGUACCAACCAAAAGAUUCAUCACCAUCUUUCCAUUCCUCAGAUUUGAGAUAUUUGAAAUGAAGUUACGAGAAUAAACUUUUAACGCAUAGAAAUUUGGCAUGUUUGACUUUGCUCGCUAAAACUUUGAAAUUAAACUAGUGAUCUAAAGCUGCUGCUCGAAGAAAAAGACUGACAUCUUUUUCGUCAAAACUUCGAAAAUAGUUUUCAUACUACAGCAGAAGCAAAUGCCCUGAAUUAAAUUCGCUUCGCUUUUGCGACUUUGAAGCUUGUUUGUGCUCUAGUGGUAACAAAAGCUCCCUAAGUGGUUUCAAAAUAGACAAGUAGAUGCGAAGUAGUGUUCAAUUAACAUAAUUAAGCACGCCAAAACCUAAUCAAUUAGAGUAGGAUAAGCUAUUUAAGAACCAUAACAAAAAGUCAUAUAAGAAACUACUAGAAUAGGCUAUUUAUUAUAGCUUCAUCAUGGAGCUCAACUAGCCCUUUUCACCCACUUUACCUUUGUGAAUAUUUUUAUUAUUUAAACAAAUAGAACAACUCUUUGAGAAAGUUUAGUAUUAAAUAUCAGGGGUAAUUUCAUAUAGGUUACUGCAAAGAUAUUGAAUAGUAAAUAUAUCUCUAUAUAGUUUAACUUUUAUAUAUUGUUCUUACAAAAAUUUUGAUGUUUUUAAAUAUAUCCCCACAUGUCGUUAGAAUCUAUUAAAAAAAAUUAGUUAACCAUAGGUUAAAUACUUAACCAUAGUUAGUUUUUGACAUUUUUAUUUUUUUAUAUUAUACUAGUAUGACUUUUGGAGGAACAUAUUUGUGAUGACAAAAUUAAAAAUAUAAACGAUUCUCUAACGGUAACAAACCAAAAAUACAUAUUUGAAAAUAUUAAAACUUUUUUAAGAACAAUAUAUGAAAGUUAAACUUUGUAGGAAUAUAUUUGCUAUUCACUAUGUUUAUAAGAACAUGUAUAAAAUUAACCCUAGAUGGGAGAUUAUUGUCAUAAUCGACAUAAGUGGAUAUUUUUGUAGUUAAUAAUUGUGCCUUGCUUGCUCCUGUCAAAUAUUUUUUUAUUUCAUCAUCAUGGCGAACAGCUGCUAAUUGUGCAGCACGCGCUAAAUCCCGACAUGACUUUUUGCUCCGACAUCAUGUAAAAUAUAUCGAAUAAUUUUGAAAAUCCGUAGGCUGAAAUUAAUUUGGAGAAAUUAGUAAUAGUGUUUUUUUUUUCUUUUGUUGAAAUAUAUAUUUAUUAAAUCAAAUUAUUAUUUCCUGGCUAAAUUUGUUUAAAUUUGAUCAGUCUGAUAUGUUUCUAGUAAAUAUAUGGACAUGAUGAUUCUACUUUCUCUGAGUUUUAAUCGACAGUAAAGCUAUAGGUAUACGUGGUCUUAGUUGGGCCAAAUCUUAACUUAACAUAAUUAAGCUACGCCGAUAUAAAUUUCAAAAUUAAUGAAAAAAAUAAACAAAAUUGAUAACACACUAUUAUUUUCUCAAAAAAAAUUAAUGAUGAAAAAAUUAAAUAGACGUUGCGCAAUCUCAAAAGAUACUUUAUUUAGUGCCCGCAAUUUAAAUACACACGCGUGCAUUAAAAAAAAAAUGGUUCGAGUUCCCCCAACUUCUUGGAAAAAUAANAUCUCAAAAGAUACUUUAUUUAGUGCCCGCAAUUUAAAUACACACGCGUGCAUUAAAAAAAAAAUGGUUCGAGUUCCCCCAACUUCUUGAAUAUAUUUAUAUAUACUAUUCAAAGUGAAAAAAAAAUAAAAAUGGAAUCAAACUUUUCUAUUAUCUAAUCAAUCUCUCCAUGCCAUUUACCUAUAUAUAUAUACAGUGAUUCUCUGAGGAUUUGUUUGAUUCCAUUUUUAUUUUUUUUUCACUUUGAAUAGUAUAUAUAAAUAUAUUUAGUACAGUAUUUGAUAAAAAAAAUUUAAAAUUUGUCGCACGUCAGUAUGUCACCAAGUAAAAUAGAAGAAUCAGGGCAUAGAAAUAAAGUAUCAAAUGUAGUAUUUCCAAUUUUGCUAAAAAGAAACUUUUGAAGAAGUUUGCAUACAAUAUAUAAUUUUGUCUAAAAAAUACAAUUGUCUCUAAAAAGAAAAGCUUUAUUGUAUAGUACUGUACUCGAUCUACGGCUGAGCCAAAUUAAAUUUAGAGAGACUUGAGUACGUAUAUUCAAAAUUUUAUUCGAAUUCAAUAAUAAAUGGAUAUGAUCUCGGAUAUCGAUAUGAAAAAUAAAAAAUCGAUGGAUUUGAAUUCAGAUAAGGAUUUUAUCAGUACCUUAUCCGAAUCCGAAUCCGAAUCCGAAUUGAUUUUGCAUUAUACAAUAUAAAUCUAUAAACAUUUGAUGUUAUGUUUGAAAAUUUAGAUUUUAGUGUAAUACGUUUUGAAAUGUGGUAAAGAGAAAUAAUCAUUAUUUCACGUUCGAGUUUCGGGUGAUUUGGUUAGGUUCGGUGGUAGAUAUAGAGUUUUUCAAAAUUCGUCGGGUUCAGAUUCUGCUUCGGAUUCGAGUUUUGGAUUUGAUUGUAGGAUUGAUUGAUUUUUGAAAAUUCGCCCCGAAUUCGAGCCGUUUGACGCUUCUAGAUGGGUCCCAAGCCAAUCUAAAAUUUGCAACCAUAGAAGGCACCAGGAUAAGUGCUUCUCCACACCACACCUGGCAACAUGGCCACUAAUCAUGGUCCCAAAUGUCAUGUUGGUCUCCCUGACUCAGCACCCUACACAUGGCUUACCUAACCCUCUUAGCUUUUUUUAAUAGCUUUUUAGAGAUCAAUUACCACACUAUUUUUUUUAAAAAAAAAAAACUUCAAAUACCAUUCCCGUGAUUUCACACUUUUUUAUUUUAGUAUUUUAUAAUUUAAAAUAUAUCAAUUUAGUAUUAUAUGGUUUCGCACUUUCUAACUUUAGUACUCCGUGAUUUAAAGUGCAUCAAUUUAGUGCCCGUGGUUUUAUUUUUCUCUUUUCGUUGGCUUCUCUAUUAAUAUUUCAUUAAAUUAUAUACAAAAAGCUUCAGACACUCCACCUAGGUUUAUCAAAUAUUCACUUUAGUACCUUUUAAUUUUAACUUUGUCACUGAUUUAACGAAAAAAUUAGUAAAAUGAAUAAUAAAAAGAGAAAAAGAAAACCACAGGGUACUAACUUGAUACACUUUAAACUAUAGGGUGUUAAAGUGAGAAAGUGCGAAAUCACAUGGGGCUAUCUUGAUAUAUUUUAAAUCAUAGAGUAUUAUAAUCAAAAAGUACGAAACCAUGUAGGGAAUAUUUGAAGUUUACUUUUUUUUUUCUUUUUUCUUUUUUUUUUUCUAUUUGAGUUCUCUCUCUUCCUCAGAAUCCAUGUAGGGGAUAUUUGAAGUUUACCUUUUUUUUUUUUUUUUUAUUGUUUUUCCAUUUGAGUUCUCUCUCUUCCUCAUCCCACACUUUUGGAACGUGUGGAGCUGAGCUAUGGUAACGGAUGUGUCUCACUGUUGCUAAAAAAGGUUAAAAAUUAUUAAUGUUAGCAAUAGUUGCUACCUAUAGUAGCUACUAAUAAAAGUUAAGAGAAAGAAAUAAAGAAAAAAAAGUAAUGUAAAGCUCUAUCCAAUUAUUGUGGAUUAUUUAAGUAGAGGCUAAUCCAUUGUUUUUAAUAAAUUUAAUAGCUGAUAUUUGAUAUUCUAAAUUUAAAAGCUAAAAAAGCAUAUAUACUAUCUUUCUCUCGACAAGAAAUUUAUAUAGAGGUUUCGAACUCUGCAAAAUAAUUUUAAAAACAUUUUUUGUUUUUUAAUCUUUUCUUAUAUAAAAUUAAUUUUUAGUUUAUUUUUUAAAAAAGUUUCUAUGGAGUGUUCUUCUGAGGAAUCUAACAAUAUCAUGGUAAGAUUGUUAACUUUAAUCCUCUUCUUCACAAAUUUAUUUUGUUGUAAACGUAAUUUUCCUGGCGGAAAGAAAUAAUUAUAAAAGAAAUAAAAAAGAUAAGACUACUAACAGUUUAAUUUUCUCUCUUUUUUUUUUGAGAAAAGCUAACCGAAUAAGUUUCAAUUUAAUCGAAAGAUGUUUAGCAAAAACUUUUUUUAAAAGAAAUACUUAAAAUUCAAAAAGUUAUGAAAAACUAGAAACUUUUAAAUUGGCUUUGUUAGGGACCUACAUAUGAAUUUUCACUGGAGAUUAGGUCAGCUGAAGGAAAAAUCUGGUCCAUUCAUUUGAUCAUCAUGAAGCAUGUCGCGUCAACCUCACAGUGCUCCAUACUCUUCCUUGUGAAAUAAUGCGAAACAAUCAUUAUUCUUUUAGAAACUUAAGUUAUCAGUAUUAAAAAGAGUUAAGCAUGGGUGCCCGUGGACGACUUGUUAUGGAUUUGCACAUCUUCUUUCUCGAAUGGCCCUAACUCGAAUCGAGAACGUCUUUUAUGUAACAGAGACUUAAGAGAGGAUUCGUGCCAGAUCAAAUGAAAUUAGCUAGAAACAUAAAGUAAUUAGGCUUUGAACUUGAAACCUCAAGUACCCACCGUCAAGUAUUUAAAUAAGAUACUUUUGUGAACAAAUCCUUUACAUUAAACUUUCUACAAACAGAACAUAAAAUAAGUGUGAAGCAAAACAAGUGUGUACUGAGAUUCAACACACAACCAGCAAAGAAUAAACAAUGGGACAGAGCUUCUAUCCACAGCACCAAACAAGGCAUGUGCUUUUCGACACUCUGAAGGAUAAGCAUGUUCAGAUCAUGACCCUCUAACUAGUAGCCAUCAUUUAUCAUUUCCAUGCAUGCAUUUGGCCCUCUAUACAGAUGUGCCAUGCUUGCAUGCCAUGGAGGGAAUUGUAGCUUGGAAAAAGAUUGUUCUCAACUUGAUCCAUCCCCUCUUAAGAAAUGGUGAUCAAUAAUAGCCCACUUUUCAUUACAUAUUUGAACUUAUCCGCACUGAGAAGUAAUAAGUUACGCAUUUGACAAACAAAAUAUUCCAGACUUCUUGAUAUAUGAAAAGUUGAAAGUGCAGAAAUUAUAUCGUAAAUCUUUAUUGUGCGAUUCGCAUGAUGCAUUAUUACUUAUCAAAAUAAUAUAAAAUAUUUUUACUAUACUUUUUUUUGCUGUACGUAAUGUAUUUUGCCCCGAAUCCCAAAUAGAUUGCAAUAGUACCCAAAGCUAUCCAUGCAAGCAGCGCACGACUCACUGAGAACCACUCAUUGUAUUUUGAUACUUCAGUUACUUCAAUUUUUUAAAUUAAAAAAAAAACCUGUCACUAACUAGACAAAGGUUUUAUUUGGUAUUGGGGUUCAUCUGAUUCUAUUAAAUAAAAUAAAGUUAGGAUAAAAGUAUAUAAAAAUAUGCUUCUGCAUUCUUCAGUGAGACUAUAGAAAAUAUAUUAUAGUCGACUCAUCGCGAUAUGCGAAACGCAGUAUUAAGUACGAAAACAAACAGCGAAUUUUCCUAUCAUAUUUUCUCACCGCACGUAACGCAAUCUUUUCAUAAUUUCAAACAAAAGCCGAGGAGGAUUGAAAUAUGAGAUGGAAUGACCACGGAGCAGCGUGGUGCAUGAAAUGACAUGGUACACCUGGUUCGCGCAAAAGUUUCUUCUAGGAUUUGUGUGCUACUACUCAUAUAGAUAGAACAGUGGUGCCUCCCUUUCUAUCACCAUUCUUAAGAAAACACACUACCAUUGCUCAUCUACUCCUCUCCAAGAACCACAAACUAAGAGCUCCCGCCAUGCACGGCGUCCGCGCAGACACAUCUCAAUCCCCACAUCCUCUUCUCCCCUCCGCCAUGACGACAACCGGCUUCCCUAAGAAGCCCUCUCUCCCUCGCAGCAGCUCCUUCGAGCUCGAGGUGUUCGACGCCAAGCGCUACUUCUCGGGCGCCAUGGACAACAUCCUCCUCGACGCUUCUACGAAAGCAACAAACACGACGGAACAACAAGAAACAUGCAGCAGUAUGAAGAAAGAGAUCGCGAACACGCCCGUCGUCAAAGAUACCAAAAGAGACAGCAGGUGGAAGAAGCAACAGCCUGGCUCGCCAGCCGGCAUCAAGCUUGCUGGCUUUCUCAACUCCCUCUUCUUCCACCAAGCAGCUUCUGCAAAGAAGCAGAAGUCAUUCAACACCGCAACGAGCAUCGACAACGAUUAUAAAGACACCAGAAGUCUUACAGGGUGGAGGAGGAGGAGCAGCAGCAGCAGCAGUAGCCGUUCGAAGAGCAUACGAAACUGCGACUCACAGUCCUUGUAUUCGCAUCAGAGCAGCCGCUUUUCAACUCCUGGUUUUAAUGAUUCCUCAACACCAACUGUCCAGAAGGAGAAAAGUAGAUUCUGUAUCAGUAAACAGAACAAGGAGGCAAAAGCUGAAACUUCUUUACAACAAAGCAAAGUUAACACUUUUAGCGGAAGAUGUGAUCAAAGGCUCUACGGAAUCGAGUUCGAGGGAAGAGAUGGGUAUGUGGGGAACAAGUGGAUGCUAAAUAAGACAAGUGAUAGAUAUCUGGAAAGAGAAUGGAUUUUGAUCAAUGAGUUCAUGGAGAGGGACAAGAAGAGCACAAAUUGUAGGAGAGAAGUUGAUGGUGGAGGGUGGGAGAGUGAUUCGAGCUCGGAUCUCUUUGAGCUCGACAACUACGAUCUUGACGCUCCAUCGAGCGGCUUGCCGGUUUUCGGGAGUACAAAUUUGGAGAGACUCAAGGAAGGAACUGCCAUAGUUGGUUUUGCAUCUUAAAAGAGCUUCCUUUUUUCCUCCUCUAUCUUUGCUCAGUUUUCAUUUUCUAUAUAUGGAUUGGUUUUUUGUUUGCAUACUAUGUGAUUCUUUCCAAUUAAAAGGUAGUUGGUGUUAUCAUGUAACAAUGAAGUGUUACUAUCACCUUCACAUGCCUAAAUUUGAGUAAAUUAUCAGGAAAAAUCCUACAACUCACAGUACUCAAUAAUGUAAUAAACAUGCUUACUAAGAGACAAUUAGCUAUUCACAAUUAGCUAUUCUGUGCCAUUGUGUGGGAACAAUUAACACAACUAUAGCAUAUUCGAAGACGAUUAAAUAAAUGGAAAGGAACGCAUUUAUAAUGAUGAAAACACAGAUAGUAACAAUUGAGCCUGUUUUCAAUGAGUUGGCGCACAAGCAGAUAAACCCCUUUGAUGAAAGUUUGCAUCAAGAGUUAGCUUAAGAACCUAUUUUCAAUAAAAGUGUACACAAAGAGCCAAAGAGGGUUUGUGUAAGAAAAUAAUUGGAUUUAGAUAGGAAUCUCGGACGAUUAGGGACCGAAAACACAAUAAUAAAGAACCACAAGGAUGUCAAGAGAGGAAAGCAAAAGACUCACAAAGUGAUUAGGGACAAAGAAAUAAAAGGAUUUAAUGCUAUUACUCAUAAUAACAAGACAUAAGAGAGCAAAGAUUUACAGUUCUUCAUAUCAGAAGACAUAAUAAAUAUCAUAUGGAAUUCUGACAGAUGCUUACAUUUUGCAUGGAGCUCGACAACUUAAAUUUCUCAUAAAGGUAAAAAAACAAAAGAUGCGACUUUUAUAAUAGAUGACAUGUUGCAUACCCUUAAAAUUUCCCGCUCCUUUUGAUAAGAGGGGAUCAUUUUUCAACUUCAGUGAUAAUUUUAUUGAAAGAAUCCCAAAUGUUCUGAGAUAGUAACAAUUGAGCCUGUUUUCAAUGAGUUGGCGCACAAGCAGAUAAACCCCUUUGAUGAAAGUUUGCAUCAAGAGUUAGCUUAAGAACCUAUUUUCAAUAACUUUUAAGUGUACACAAAGAGCCAAAGAGGGUUUUAGUGUAAGAAAAUAACUGGAUUUAGAUAGGAAUCUCGGGUGAUUAGGGACUGAAAACACAAUAAUAAAGAACCACAAGGAUGUCAAGAGAGGAAAGCAAAAGACUCACAAAGUGAUUAGGGACAAAGAAAUAAAAGGAUUUAAUGCUAUUACUCAUAAUAACAAGACAUAAGAGAGCAAAGAUUUACAGUUCUUCAUAUCAGAAGACAUAAUAAAUAUCAUAUGGAAUUCUGACAGAUGCUUACAUUUUGCAUGGAGCUCGACAACUUAAAUUUCUCAUAAAGGUAAAAAACAAAAGAUGCAACUUUUAUAAUAGAUGACAUGUUGCAUACCCUUAAAAUUUCCCGCUCCUUUUGAUAAGAGGGGAUCAUUUUUCAACUUCAGUGAUAAUUUUAUUGAAAGAAUCCCAAAUGUUCUGAGAAAAGCUUGAAAAGGCAUCUUCCAAACUUUGUUGUGUAAAACUUUUGAGUGGCAAGAGCUAUUCUUCUCUUCUUAUUUCAACAACCUCUUCAGGCCAAAGAACAUCUCAUCCUGAGACUAGUCAUUUUUGCUGUCUCAAUCUCCCUAAUGAGAAGAUAAAGCCCAAGAACUACAAGCCACCACUCACAAAGUUUUUAUAAAUAAUUCCACGAAAGGAUAGAAUGAAAUAAGACAAAAAAGGAUAAAUACGAGAGCAACUUCAGCCACUCUGCCUCUAUCUUUGUCCCCGCUAGGUGUCGAAACCUCAUUACUGAGAAAGCUGAGCAAUAUGCUUGAAAAGCUAAGCUCCGAACCAAAAUUCAAAAAAGCAACUCCAAACCAAAUUGUAAUUCACCAAUCUUGCUGAGAUUUGAUGCCAUUCCUCGAAUAAAACUUCAUUUGCAUCCCAAAUUGAUGGCCUUGUAUUGUCCAUUUUUUAUGAGAAUUUGCUGCUUAAUACAAAACUGGCCAUUAUUUUUACGCCUGUCGCACAUUUUCCGUGGCUUUUCUUUGUUUCAGCAAUGCAUCACAAACCUUCGCAGCAUCCAAACCAUAACCCACAUUAUGCACUCUUAUAACAUUAGCACCGCCCAAAACAUUAGCACCGCCCAAAAUCCCCGCCGUAACAGCUGCAAUAGUAGCAGGAUCUCUCUCAACUGGAUCAGUUCGAUUACAUAUCUCACCUAAAAAUCUUUUCCUAGAUGGUCCAACCAAGAUCGGUAAAUGCGAGCCACCUACACUUCUUUUUCCAAUUUCUCUUCUAAUAGAAGGCAAUCCCAUAAGAGUUUCAAGAUUAUGCUCCAAUUUCUUAGAAAAUCCGAUACCAGGAUCAAUAAUUACUCUCCACAAGGGAAUUCCCGCCAGCUCAGCUUCACUCACCCGUGAGUAUAACUCGCAGGCUACUUCCUUGCAAACAUCUUCAUACUGCAAAUUUUGCUUACUUUGCAUAGUUAAUGGAUCUCCUCUCAUGUGCAUAAUAACAUAAGGGACCUCGAGGUCCCCGACAACACUAAGUAUUUUGGGGUCUAUUUUCCCCCCAGAAACAUCAUUAACGAUAUGGACUCCUCUAUUGACUGCUUCAAAAGCAACUUCGGAGUAGAAAGUAUCGAUCGAUAACAGCUUUCCUUCAAUCUCAGGAAUUUGCAUAAUUGCAUCUAAAACAGGAAUUAACCUCUCAAGUUCUUCGGCAGGAGAUAGUCUACUUCCAAAAGGCCGAGUUGAUUGAGCUCCGAUGUCGACGAUAUCCGCACCUUCUGAUAUCAGCAACUUGACGUGAGAAACCGCAUCUUCAACUCGUUGAAACUUCCCUCCAUCGCUAAAGCUAUCGGGCGUGAGAUUGAGAAUGCCCAUCACGUGGGUUUUCUUCGACCAGUCCCAUAAGCAAUUUUUCACUGGUAAGACCCUUCUUAAUCCUUCCUUUCCAAUUGAGGACUCGCCCCCAAGUUUCUCCCAUAUUUCAAAGAUCCCUCCAUUGCAUCUCGAAAAUGAAUGCCAACUUGAUUCAAUUUCAUUGCCAACAGAUGACCCAAUUAGGUCAACAAGCGGAGCGAUUACAAACGGUCUCUCCCAAAUUCGUUCAUGUGGGAUCGUAAGAGACUCCGAUUCGAUCUUGGACUCCCCAUAGAAGAGAAUGUCUAGGUCGAUCGGUCUAGGCCCAUACCUAACCCCAUCGGUUCGCCCCAAAUCCUUCUCAACUUGCUUCAGAACAUUAAGCAACUCAUGGGGCCCGAGUUUCGUCGUCCCUCUAAUGGCGGAGUUUAGAAAUAGAGGUUGAUCAAUAACAUAUGCAGGCGCGGUCUCAUAUAACAAGCCGUGUCUGGUGAUUGUCACCCCCGAUUUCUUCACCAAGUUUAGGGCAUUAUCGAAAUUUCGGACUCUGUCGCCCACAUUGCUCCCUAAAGCAAUCACCACCUCCUGCUCAGGAGAAUGAACCGAUACUGAAAAUGAACGAAUAAACGAAAAAUUCACGGUCGAAUUAGCCGAGGAACGAAGGGAGGGCCUUCGGUUCGAUCCUGCGAUAUGAAAAGAGGAAUCGACAAAAGACGGGUUUAUAUUUUAUCCUUUUUUUUGUAUAAAUUUGAUGAAAAGAGGGUGAAAAACAGCACCUUUAGAAGUAAUUGCAAAGGGGAAUCCUUUGAGUUGAUGCUUGGCAAUAGGAAGCAUCCACUUAACUCUUUCCUUGAUGCGGAACAUAAUAUAUAUAGAAAUUUAAUCACAUUACUACACAAAUCUCCUCGUAAGUUGAUCUAAAUCCAAAUAUGAUGAGAAUUUGGGGAAUCCUGAAACCAAAGAGCUACUACAUGAAUGAACAGGUGAUCUGAACAAGGGCACAAAAUCACAAAAAAUUCUUGAAAAAGAGUAUGAAUAAUGAGAAAAUAUCAAAUCUUACAAGGGAUAAAAAACUAAUUUUAAAACCAAAAUUACAUCUUUGCGCUAAGACAUUAGGGUCUAAUAAAGUGUGAUUCGAAAAAGAUAGCAACAAAAAUCGUAAAUUUUACUCGGAAAAGAGAUAGGAGAGCGAGGAUUAAUGAAAUUAAUUAAUACAACCAAAAUUGCGAGGAUUAAACCAACCUUUUUUUGUGCAAAGGAAACGCAAUUUUGAAGAACGGGGGUAUCGAUUUGGAUUGGGAUUUGGGAACGCAGAGAAAAGGGUUUAAUGGCGAAGAUAUUUAAUUACCAUUUUACCCUUUAUCUUGUCGCUUUUGGUUUGGUUCGAUUUUGGAGGUUUCUCCAAAACCACACUGGACAAUAAUUAAUUUUAUGUAAUUUGGGUAGACAAUUAUUUAUUUAAAAAUACUUAAUUUGAAAAAAUAAAUGUUACCCAUUUUUUGAGUUUUUUAAUUUAUAAAAUAAAAUACCAACAAAUAGAGGCAAAUCAACCCCCACCUGUCCGGUCCGGUCCGGUCCGGUUUGAGUAAAAAAGUCGGUGAGUUUCUCCAAAGAAGGAGGGGCAAAAGAGUAAUUAUGCUCCAAGCCAAUCUCCUCAUGGGAGAUUUUGUUCAACGAGAGAGUCGAAAGAUUACAACUUUUUUUUAGCUUCUUGGAGAAGCUCAUUAAUGGCGAUUAUGAGAAGCUCCUUUCUCUAAUAAAACUCCAAAGAAGAAGAAGCUUGUGGAACGAAUCAUGGCCACUCUUCCAUUCACGUGUCCUCUCCCUUUUCCAAGGUCCCUCCUUUUUUUUUUUCAUUUACCUUAAAAAUCACUCUUUUAAAGUAAUUAUUUAUGUGUUCUAUAAUUUUCUCCAUUAUCUUAAGCUCAUGGAUAGAUCUCGUCGUUAUAUUUUGUGGGUUUUCGUAAGUUUCUCAAUCAUUAUGUACUGUUGGAACUAUUUAAAGUAGGUAUUUUGUUUCCCAAUUGUAUCAUUGAUGCAUUUUGUGUUUGAUAACCUUUUUCUCUUUGAACACUUUAAAAAAAAGGUCUCUUUUGGAGAGAGAAAGUUUUUAGAAAAGUGUGUUGUUCAAUUUUAAUUAUAAAACUUCAAUUCUAAAUGGGUACUGAUAUACAAUGAUUGAUGCACAGGAAACAUUAGUUGAUUGUACUAAAAUCGGCGCUGUGUCUCUUUAAUAUUCAUGAAAAUGGAGAGGUUAUUCUUCUACUAUUUCAUAGAUCUUGACAAAAAGAUGACAGUUUGGCAAUGUAGUAAAAACAGAAAACUAUUUCGAGGAAAGGGUUCUUACUCUUUCUUAUUCAUAAUCUUGUUUAACUACUAUACGAUAUAUUGGUAUCACAUUAUAGUCGUAAAGAAACUUCAAUUGGUCGUAUCGUCACUUGAUAUGUAAAUUGUGCAGGGGGCAGCUUCUUUGUCCAUCGAGUCUUUUGCUAAAUAUGAUUUGUCCCAAUGAUCAUAGACCGCAUAAGUUAUACAUUAGAGCCGUUUCAAAGAAAAGUGAUUCACAACUUGUAGUAGAGAAUCCAAGUAAUGAGGAAAGUAGUGUUAAAACUUCUAAAAAAGCUGAACGAGCUCCCAGACGCAGUAGAAAGAAAGUUGCUGCAGAAUCUUCAGAUAGGAGUUCUAUGGAAACUGUCAGUACUGUGAGUGAAGAGGAAACAAGCGCACAAUCAGUAUCUGCUGAGGAAACAAAGAAAGUUUCAAGGAGAGCUCGAACGAAAGGUAAAUGCCACCUUCAUCUAAUUAGUGCUUGUUUGGCCUGGCUAGAGCUUUUGCAAAUGCGCUAUUUGAGUAUAGUUGGUUAAGAAGGUAGCUUUUCAUCUACAAUUUCUUGCUGCAGCACAAGAAGAAGCUUUAUAGUGGAACUUCUACUUUUGGGGCUUCAAAGCUCAUUUUAGCCUCUAACAAUGGUAGAAGAUUCAGACUAUUGUUAGCCAAAUGGCUAGUUUCUAGAAACUUUUGCUUUUGCGAGUUGAGAAGUUGUUUCAAAAGUCAAGUCGUACUGGAUGAAUAACCUAAGUAACUUGAGCAUGCACUACAUCUCAUCAUAACUUUGUUUGAUUUGCAGCUACAAGUAUAUCGAGCUCAGAAGGGGAGAGUGUUCAACCAAAAGCUUCUAAGAGGAGGAGCAGGAAAAAAACAGUUGAUAUCGAAAAGGAUCUAACCAGUAGUGAAGUACUUGUUACUCUUGAGAAACCUGUGUCCACAAAUGUUCUCGACAGCGAAAAGGAGUUACAGUUAAAAGAAGGUGAUGGAGAGGAUAUUAGUUUCACCUAUAGUUGGCCACCUCUGGUUUGCUGCUUUGGCUCAGCCCAGUAUUCAUUCAUACCUUCAGGAAGGCCGGCUAAUCGAUUGAUAGACCAUAACAUUCACGACUCAUUGAAGGGCAUGUUUUGGGCCCCUGAUAAAUUCAUAAGAGCGCCUGGAGGGCCUGCGUCGAGUGUUGCAGUAGCUCUUGCAGCUCUAGGUGGCCGGGUUGCAUUCAUGGGAAAGCUUGGUGAUGAUGAGUUUGGUAACAAUAUUCUAUAUUAUUUGAAUGUAAACAAUGUACAAACUCGAUCACUCGUGCUUGACGGUUCGAAGCCUACUGCCUUGUCUUACAUGAAGAUAAUGAGAAGAGGUGGUUUAAGGAUGAGCUGCAAUAAACCUUGUGCUGAAGAUUGUCUUUUGGCUUCCGAGAUCAAUAUUGAUGUUUUAAAAGAGGUGAAAUCUUUUUUCCCGAAAGAAACUCUAUGCAUGAAGAUGGUGCUCUUUCCUUUUUCUCUAUUCCUGUAGAAUACUAUAUCUACGACAUGUAUAUUGGCAAUUUGUGGAAUAGUUUGGUUAUUACUUAUUAGUAAUGCUAGUGUAACAAGCUAUGUAGAACCAUAUUAGCAAGAUCGUACUAGUUUCUAUGUUAGAGUAUGCAUUUGCAUUUAGUGAAUCACUCUUUUGCGAAUCUAGUCAAGAACUGAAAGAUGCAAAAGUGUGCUAAAUGACAUUAGGUUGGGAGCAUUAAGCAUGAUUCUACUCAUCUAAUAUUUGAUUGAGUUCCUUUGUUAUUGUUUUACUCAUUUAUAGGCUAAAAGAUUUAUUGUAUUCUUAGAAUAUUUCCAUCUACAUGAGAUUUUUCUUUUGUAAUAUAUCUUUAGUCUUCUGAAUAUCAGUUUCGUGUUUCUUUUCUAAUUCGUUGUGCCGAUUUAUUUUGUCAUUUUCGGGAUGCAGGCGAAGAUGUUCUAUUUCAAUUCAUCAGCCUUACUCGAUUCAAACAUGAGAUCGACAUUAAUGGAAGCAAUCAAAAUUUCCAAGAAAUUUGGAGGCGUCAUAUUCUUUGAUCCUAACCUUCCACUGCCACUGUGGGGGGCAAGCGAAGAAACCAUGUCAUUCAUCAAGGAAGCAUGGAAUGCCGCCGAUGUAAUCGAAGUCACCAAACAAGAACUCGAGUUUCUCUGCAGCAUCAAACCUUUGGAGAAAUUUGAUACCAAAGAUAACGACAAAUCUAAAUUCAUUCACCACAAGCCAGAACAGAUUAAGCACUUGUGGCAUGAUAAUCUCAAGCUCCUCUUCGUGACAAACGGGACUUCUAAGAUACACUAUUACACGGAGAAGCAUGAUGGAUGGGUACGUGGAAUGGAGGACCCACCUAUUACUCCGUUUACUUGCGACAUGUCGGUUUCAGGGGAUGCCGUUGUUGCAGGUAUACGAGACUUUUAAACUGAACUUUAACUGUUUCGCACUUGCCUUUGGUACAUUUGGCAUUUCAGCUGUGGCUCCUCCUUUAAGGAACUGCAAGUAUAUUAAUUCAUAACCAUGUUAAUUGCGAUUUGACCUACUAACUUUAGUUACUCCCAAAAGAGAAUCCUAGACCCUUUUUGUAUUUUUUGUAUUGAGUUCGGCGCAUAAAGUUUGAUUGGGUGCCAAAAACUCACCAUCUAGAUAAAACUUUGCAGCUCAAACCGCAAAACAUCUGUCGGUCCUUUUAGCACCAAAUUAAAGUUGAAGGAUCAAAAGUUCAUUAAGGAAAAGUUUGGCAGGUUUUAAUGAUUUUAACGUAGAUUUUACGAUCAUACUUACAGUAACUAACACUUACAAAAUUCGCGUGCUUUACAUAAUUUAGUUUAGUCACUUUUUUUCGCUUUGUAUUCAUCUGAAGUAACACUGUUCAUGCUUCAGCUCUCAUGAGGAUGUUAACAGUCCAACCCCAUCUAAUUACCGACAAGGGUUACUUGGAGCACAUGAUCAAGUACGCAAUCGAUUGCGGUGUGAUCGACCAAUGGCUGCUCGCGCGAGUUCGCGGCUUCCCUCUAAAAGAAGGGCUCGAUGUCGCUUCUUCGCAGCAUGAGAUGGCGAGAUCCCUUACAGAGAGAGAAUACCGGACAGUGGAGGAACAUGUUAGCUGAUCAAAGUCUGCAUGCUAGACCAUUACAUUAUUCACUUCUACAGAAAUCACUUCCGAGUUUCAGUUGUCAUUACGAAUAAUCGUAGGAACAGAGGCAGAAAUUUUGUAGCAGUUGUGCUAAUAGAGAAGCUGAUUGUAUUACUCGAGUAAUUCAUUAAACAAGAAAAAAAUUUUCGCUCGCUUUUCAGAUAAGUUUGUGCAGUUAUCUGCGGUACAUAAAGAGUGUGUUUUAUCAUUUCUGUAUGUGACAGAUACCAAAAUCCUCUUGUGUCAGUAACACAAUUUGUAUUUGUUGCAAAAUCAAUUUGAUUUUGACCCACACUCUUUGGUAGAUAGAGAGAGAGAGAGAGGAAAAAUAUAUGCCAAGUCCUUUAACUGUUCCAGUAUUGCAAUGUAUCAUAUUGUUGUUUUGUUUGAAUGUAUAAAUAUUUUAUUCAGUGUUUAUUUUUUAUUUACUCAAUAAAAUUAUAGUAUCGGUACAAAUUAGCGAAAAAUUAUCUUAAUUUUUAAAUUAAAGAUUAGUUUUUUUUUAGAACAAGAUAGAUUGUUUAGUAAGUAAAAAAAUACUAUUCAAUAAAAUUAUGAAUAUUUGACUAACUGUAAUUACUAUAAAUUUUGAAACUUUUGCUGGUAAAUAGAAAAAUUUUAAAGCUUAGGAGGUGGUUGGUUGCUCAGAGUGUCUGGAAAACUAUUUUUUCUAAAAGAAAAAAAAUUAGGAGAAACAGUUCUUUCAUAAUUUCUAUUUAUUUUUCAAAUAAAAGUUUUUAAAAAUAAAAAAGUUUUUAAAUACAUUUUAAAUUUUUAAAAAAACUUUAAAACUAAUAUAAACUAUUUUUUCAGUUAAAGAAACUAUUUUUAAAAUUAUUCUUGGGAAAAUGAAACAUGUUUUUACCCAAAUUAUUAAUUCAUAGCAGAAGAAGAAUUGAAUUGAGAGAAAGGUGUGACAUGGGAAAGGUGAAGUACUUUUUCAGUUGUUCUCGGAGCUUGGCGUACAAACACGCUUCGUACAUGGUGCUCUCCACAGAGAGAGAGAGAGAGAGAGAGAGAGAAGAGACGCGAAGCUUCUAGAGCUUGAGAGGGGAUGCGGAAGCUUCUCCACUCCAACCUCUCACGCCGCCUCAAUCAAACCCUCGCCGCCGCUGCCGCCCCCAAAUCCACCGCCGAAACCCUAGCCCUCUUCGCCUCCUCCGCCGCUCCCCCCCGCCACCACCACCUCCUACUCCGCCGCUUCCACUCAUGGCGACCGCCGAGCCACCACCGCGGGCGCCUCCGCCCCCCGACCGGAACCCUAGGUUUCCUCUCCGGAACCAUCCUCUUCAACCGCGCCGGGGCGGCGGCGGCGGCGGCCAGGAGCGCCGUGCGGCGCUCCUCGGCGUGGCAAGAGAUCCGCUCCCUCCUCGUCUCCCUGCAGCGGAGGAGCGGCGCGGGCCACCUCUUCUCUUCGAUCCGGCGAUCGUGGUGAUCUCUCUCUUUCGCGGUUCUUGCGUUGCGUCUAUAGUACGGUUCUCUUUGUGAAUUAGUUUAAUUUGGAAAAAAGAAAUAACGUGAAAUGGAAGAAAGGCAUCUUGUUUGCUAUGUUUCCAUUGAAGAUGGCUCGUAAUUUUUCUUUUUCAAUAAUAGUUUACGGGCAUGCUUUGGUGUCCAAUUUUGGAUUGGAUAAUAUACAACAUGAGAGCAAUGCUGAGGUACAGAAAUGGUUAAGUAAUCUGGUGGUCUCAGGGGUGGUCAUAUGUUGGGAAUGGGAUUGGAUUCGAAAUUUCGUGUCAUAUUUCAUCUCUUUUUCAUCUUAUCCUAUCCAAUUCAAUUUUGGAUCACAAAUGAGCCCAUAAUUAUGGGGCAUUGUUAAUGGAUGAUAAUUUUUGGCUAUAAGAAUAUAUUUAGAUAGAAAAAUGAAGCAGCUGAUAGAGAUCAACAAUGCCCAUAGCCAUUUCAUUAAUUGUUUUUCUUUCUCAUUUUGGAUGUCCUGGGUUCUUAAUUCAAUUGGUUGUUGCGAAUAUUUCUUUAUUCGGCCAAGAUAUAUGUUGGCUGCUUUUCUGUUUUGCAGGACAUAUUGGAUUCAGUCGCCUGAUGGGGUAGUUCAAUUUCUGAUAGGAACAAAUAUUGCUGUCUUCUUCUUGUGGAGAAUUGCUGAUCCAUUGUUUAUGAGGAAACAUUUUAUGGUCAGCUUCUCGACGAUCGCUUUAGUGCUGUCUAUGUAUCACUUUCAUGUGUUUCAGUGAUUUUAUUUAAUAUUAGUAGUCCUUUUGGCCCGGCCUGUACAGUUGUUUUGAUGCUGCUCUUCUAUGUGCUUGUGCACUGACCUCUUGGUAAUUGAUGAGCAGAUUUCACUAGAUAAUUUCAGAAGUGGGCGCCUGCACACGUUGCUGACCAGUGCUUUUAGUCAUUCUGAUCUUGAUCAUCUUGUGACUAACAUGAUUGGUCUUUACUUCUUCGGCUUAAAUGUAAGAUCUUUCCUUCCAUGGCAUAUCUUUCAUGCUGAAACUUUUUUCUUCCCUUGCUUCUGAUAGAUGUUAAUAAGUUAUUAAGUUGUAUUUCUGUGCUAGAUCUACUCAACAUACGAAGAAAGAGAGGAUGUUUAUGAUAUCUUUUUUUUCCAUUGCAAUCUUUACGAUCACCACACAAUUUUAGAUUAGUUCAAGAUUUUGGAUGUCUGGUGUAUAGAUUGUACUUACGAUUGUUACGAUAUCUUCUCUUUUACAUGCCAAUUUUCUCUCACUUCAAUCAAGUUACUGUUGACUCUUCAAUCAAUUUUUUCAGAUGUUGGACUAUGGAGUUUUUUUUUUUUUCCCUUCCUUUUUGGUAGGAGCAAGAUUGUGACCUUCUUACUGAUAUAUUGACAAGAUUGAAACUUGCAAGUGGUGAGGACCAACAUAUUAAAUUAAAUAAUUAAAGCCUAUGAAGUUUUGAUGUUAGCUUCGUAUAUAGAAAUUUGAAAGGGAUUAGAUACUCUGGGAAGAUAAUGGGGUUGAUUAAUGCUAGUUGGUAUGCUGACGAUGCUUUUUUUGUUUCCUCUGUUGUCCCUCACGUUUGUCUUUCAUGAUGAAUGCAUCUCUUCUAUAUUCAAGAGUGCAAGUUUAUCAGCUGCAAAGCCAAUUAUUUGUUAGAAUUGCCUGAUUUGCAUGUAUUUACAAAUCGUUUGCUCAUUUUCAUCCAAGUUAGAUGUUUGAGUUUCCAUAUUAUGUAGCAUAGCUUAUCCUUACUAAGACUAGCCAAAAGUGCUUGUUAUGAUUGUCCAAAUACAUAAUUUCAAUUAUUAUUGUGAAUUGAUCUGCCUAUGUUGUUCUCCAAUCUUUCUUGACGAUCAGAUUGCAAACCGUUUUGGGCCUCAGUUCCUGCUUAAGUUGUACCUCGCAGGGGCGCUUACCGGAUCUGUCUUUUUCUUGGUUCACAAGGCUUUUCUAGUCCCGCCUAAAGCAGUAAGAGUUUCUUAAGAAUCACUUUUAAAUUGUCUAUAUUUUUGUUCAACAACUUCUUUUAAGAAUGAUAUCACUGUUAUUACAUGAUGACUUAUUUUCAUGACAACUGUCAAGAUGGUGACUUAUUACUGCAUCUUUCCAUGUAAUUUCAGAGUUAUCGAGGAUGGGAUGAUUCAAGAGUACCUGCACUGGUACAUGUUUCUCGAGCCAACUGUUUCCAUACAAGUUCGCACACAUUUAAACUGUAUUCCUACUUUUUGCACAAAGAAUUAAAUUUAUGGGUAUAAACAAAAUCAACCUUUCCUGAAUAGAAUACUCCAUAAGGUUAUAAAAUGUUGUAGUAAAAACUUGACAAGCUUCAUUAAGGUCUGACAGGUUGGUAUUGAUAUAACUAUAUAAUAAAAAAUUAUGCAGUGAAAUCAAAACAUUUAAAGUUGUGCCAAUACCCAUUUCAAAAUACGCUAUAGUUCAGGUAGUCACCAAAUUUAUUCGACCUGACAACUAACAAUACAAAUACUGCAUAAUCUAGAAAGGGGUUCAAUUGUACGGCAUAUUGGAAAGCAUAGAUGGCAUUUGUUUUGGGCCCAAGGGCUGAUUGUGAUCUUUGUACUUGAUGUAAUUCAGGGUGCAAGUGCGGCUGUUAAUGCAAUUAUUCUUCUUGAGGUGUUUUUGUUCCCAACAAGAUUAGUCUAUCUCUAUUUCGUUGUGCCUGUACCUGCAAUGCUAGUGGUGAGCUUAUCUUCCUUACGUACAGAAUUAUACUGCUCUAAGAUUAUUUUGCUUACCUCGGGGCAUAUUUGGUUUAUCUCAUUUCAGGGUGCUUUGUUGAUUGGAUCGGAUUUGUGGAGGAUUAAGACGGUAUGUGAAAUAGCAUUUUUACCUAGUUUAUUAUAUAUAAUUAACUUUGAAAAUUUAUUGACACCUCCAACUAUAGGUUUCAUCUAGAAAGAGGCCCUGAAAUCUCAAUCAAGUUUGAAUUGAACCCUCAACUAAAAUAAUGUUUUUUUUUUAAAAAAAAAAUUACACUUCAACUUAAUCUUCUCUGUAGCUUGUUGGCUCAUGGCUGUUUCUGAUAUGAUUUUGCAGCAAUUUUUGCAACUUAGCAGAAUUUAUUACCUUUUUAACAAAAAUCAUUGAAGUUUUUGAGUAAUGAGACGGACUCUACUCCAAUAGUUGAAAAAGAAAAGAGAAGUUGGCUGAGGACUUGAAUCACAAAAGUCCAGUAAUCUAUUUCAUGGUUUAUGUUUGCAGGGAUUGCUCUACCUUUAUUUUUACCUUUGUCGGAAUAAAUAAUGCUACCUAGUCAAAAUCUUAGCCUCUAAAAGAUUUCCAAACCUAGAAGCAAGAACAUUUCUACCUUUGCACCUCUUCUUUGGUUUAGAAACUUUUCAUUCCACCUUUUAAGUGAAAUUGGACCGUAUUGUUCAUGUUCUUUCUAUUUUUUUCCCUCUUUUUUUCAGGGGCAAGGCCAUGUUUCAGGUUCAGCUCAUUUAGGGGGUGCUUUUGUUGCUGCUCUUGCAUGGGCUAGAAUUAAGAAAGGCUGGUUCUAAUCGGCAACCGGUCAUCAAAAACUCUUUUUCUCCUCUUUCACUUUUUUUUUCCCUUUUUUUAUUUAAAAAAAAUUCUUGUUACUCUGGAAACAAUACUAAUCAAGUAACAAAUUGGAGCUAUUUUUUUUUCCCCAUCUCUUUACUUCUGAAAAUUGAAUAAGCAAAUAGUGUUGAUCUAUUGAUCUCUUGUUUUUAUCUUAUGCAUUGAAGUGAACUCUGGUUUUUGGUUGCGAGAUGAUGAGCUUUCGCCGAUUCAAGCUGUAUUGCACGAAAUGCCAACGCAUAAGCGGAACUUUCUACAUCUACCGUGUACAUCAUCCAUCAGCACAUAAUUAAUAAUCUUCGUGAAGAAAAUCUCUUUUUUAUAGUAAUAUUUGGAACAGUGCAAGAAGUGUGGUUGAAAAUUAUUAUAAGAUUGAAAAUUAUACAUUGUAUAAAUUCCCCGAAGUGUUUCUUUUUUUCAAUAGUAGAAUGAAAAGGUUUUAAUUAAUUUUGUUUCUUUUCAAUGUAAAAAUUACAUAGUUUUCUUUAUUAUAUUUAGAUUAGCCCCCCUUUUUUUCUUUUUGAUCAUUGCCUAUUAGGUCCCAUAACCCUACUCAAACUAACCCACCAUUUGUACUGAGAAGGCCACAGAAUCAAGCUUCGUAAAUGUGCCUGUAAACUCUUGCGGAAUUUGAAACUCUGCAAAUUAGAAAUCAAUUUAAAAUAUGCACUAGACAAUGGUUACUAGAUUCGUCCAAUAAAUUAGAAACCAAUUUUAAAUUAGAAAUCAAUUUAAAAUAUUUUUAGAAAUCAAUUUAAAAUAUGUCGAGAUAAGAACAACUACACUACACAAUGGUUCCUAGAUUCGCCCAGCAAAUUAGAAACCAAUUUAAAAUACGCCGGAAUAAGAACAACUGCAGUAGGCCAAUCAUGUGAAUAGCAAAUCACGAGUUUUCGCAAGUGAAUGACAGCGAUUCGCUACAAGCCUAUUUUAUAAUUUGGUGCGUCUCGAGCACGUGGCAUAAGUAAGUUGUUGCCUUGCUCGGAAAGUUUCCACGUAAAUAUCCGACGAACCAAUCACGCACUGGCACGUGCACAGCGUUUGUUCAUAGCUGUCCAACAAUACGUAUAGGGAAUCCUUCCUCUUACAGCGGAGGGAGUAGAUAGACAAGAAACAAAUGAAUGCACCCGGUGCACCCUACACCGUAAUCUCUAUUGUACCAUUAUUAGCUUGGAAAUGAAGAUUACUACUGUAUAUCUAGUAAACCCAAAAUAUUCUUAUAUAUUAUUGAUAUCUUAAUAAUAUAAAAAAAUUUUAAUUGGCUAAUGUAUACUAUUUAAAGUAUCAUAUGAACUUGCCAAUUUAUCAAUAAUAAUAAUAUGUAUAUUUCGCAUGAUCAGCUUACUGAGGUGUGGUGGUGCACGGUGCACCGAGUCUAUACGGUAAUUUUUUUAUUGUAUUAAGGUAGGUGGAUCUAGUCCUUACAGGUGCGGUGCACGGUGCACGGGGUUCAUCGAUAACGUUUCCCAUUAUACUAAGGUAGGUUCUGGGGAUCGGGAGGAAACGCGAAGCGGCGCACGUUAGAUUCGUGGGGUUUCAUCGAAGGCGCAAAAAAGAAAAGGCCAAAAAGAGAGAAACGAGAGAGCGAGGACGAAGACGAAUACGACCACGAGUAGGAUCGUGGAACAUGCCGAAGCGCAAAACCCUAGCGUCAGGUGCGUUACCAUUCUCUCUCUCCCCUCCUCCCCAACAAGCUUCUAAUUCACCAAUCCACGCCCCACCCCCAACUAGGGUUUAUACCCCAAUCCUCUCGCUUGGGUCUCUUAGAUCCCGAUUCGGUGUCCUUCGCCUCGGCUUCGAAUUGGUAUCGGUAGAUCUCUUUUACAAGUUGGUUUUGAAUCGAAUUGUUGAUGAAUGCUGCCGAUUUUGAGUGUUUAAACUGAUAAUUUGGUGCUCAGGGCGUUGAAUUCAGUGGGAUCCAAGAUGAGAUCUUGUUCUCCAUUAGAUCUUCUUCGUAUGUUAUUACCUUUUGUAAUGUAUGUUUUUAUUUGAUUUACUUUUAAGCGAGUGCUUGGGGUUAGUGGAUGUGGACUAAAGUUGUGACCCUUUUUUUUAAAAAAAAUUGAAGUUAGCUUGGAACUGGAAAUUUUGAUUUGAGAUGAUAAUUUACUUGGUUUUUGUUGAGUUGAGAUGCUUUAUGUUGCUUUAGGGCUAUGAAGUGUUUCCUUUUGUUGGAUUAAUUUUUUUUUUCUUUUAUUUUUUUUUUUAAAGAAGUUUUUCAGCUAAAUAGCUCAUGAUGAGUUAAGAUUUACUCUUUCUAUUACGUUCUUCUUUUAGAAAGAGAUUAGUUGAGUGUGUAGACAGUAUAGAAUCAGGGUUUUUAUUUAUGUGGGUAUUAUGGAGCUACUGUAAUGAAGUGUUCUAUGAGUCUAGCCUUAGCUUGAUGUAAUGACUCUAAUUGCAUCAUUCAACUAAGGCUCAUUUGAGUUGGGGGGAAAAAAUGAGUAUCUGAAUUGAGAAGUGAUUCCUUAUAUGGAAGUUCUAACGUGAAUUUUCCGAUGCCAAGUGGUGAGUGAUCGAGUGAGCGUUCCUGCCUCAUUCCCAAGAAAAUAAUAUGUUUGUAAUUAAUCAGGACAUUUAAGUCCAAUAGAGCCAUACUAAAUAAUGUGUUAUACUAAAGUAGUCCUUCUGGCACUGCACCUAUUUUGCAUUUUGCUACAAUUGGAAAUAAGAUUAUACAUGUGGUUAAAAUUUUGAUUUUUGCAAUAGCCGACUAGUCAGGCAACGCAAGGUACCCUCACUGGAAAAACCAUCUUAGUGGACGCACUUAGUUUCCUAGUUGACGCUUUUGACAACACUUGAUGGUGUAAUCAUUGGUUAACUGCACAAUGUGAAAGAGAUUAUCAUGUAAAGUUAAGCAACUGAAGUCUGUCGUUCCCCUCUAAUUUAUUCUCUUUUCAAGAUUGAGACCACACUUUGCCUGAAACUCUAAUUGUUUUUUCAACCUUUCUUGAGAUUAUUUACUUCAUUCAUUCUUUUGCUUCUGUACCUUUAAUGAUCUAUUUAUCUCUAUGUUAACGGAAGAGACCAUACAUGCUCAUGCAUGAUUUCUAUUUCUUACUGAUAUCACCCAAUUAUAUUCCCUGAUGAUCCUAUAUUGACGAUUGGUUUGACUUUUCAUCACAUCAGAUUUUUGCACUCUUUUAAUAUGAACCAAGUGUUGACUUACAUGCUUGUCUAAGAUCCUUCAAAUGACAUAUGUUGUUUCCAAAGGAUAUCUACAUCACUUUGUGUUUCUGUGUGUGUGCGUGGGCGUGGGAGCUGGCGCAGGCGCGGGCACGUUUUAAAAGAUAUUUAUAUUCCAGAGUGUGUGGUUGCAUUUGGACACUUAAAUGAUUUAAGUACAAAAGUACAUAAAAGAAAAGAUAGUCUUUUUAUAGAAUCAGACAGAUACAUGCACGUACACGUGCGGGUGCACACAUGCACUCAGGCAUGCACGUGGCCGUACACACACCGUGAUGCACAUGUGCGUGAACACACGCGUGCGCACACACACAUGCACACAAGCACUCAGGCACGCACAUGCCUUGCAUAUACACACACACGCACGCACGCACGCACACACAUUCUGAUGCACAUGCGCAUGAAGACACAUGCACACUGACAAACACUUCUGCAUGUAUUCAUACUUUUUAUCAUCAUGUAUGCAUACUUACGCGUGCGCACGCACACACACACAAGCAUACCAUGCACACAUGCACACGUGUGCACACACACUCUGAUGCAUGCAGUCGCAUGUAUGCAUACUUUUUAUCACCUGCAUGUAUGCAUUUCUAUGCACGCACGCACAUGCACAGAGACGCUCUGAUGCACUCAACUGCAUGUAUGGAUACUUUUUAUAAUCAGCAUGUAUGUAUACUUUUCAUCAAUGCCUAUACAAAUAUGAGUGUGCAUCAACAUGUGUAUUUGCUUUAUAUGAAUAUUUAUAUGCUUUACAUGCAUGUUUCUAUUAUCUAGCAUUUACUUGUUAAUAAGUUUUUCUGGAAUCCAAUUCUUCGAACUUUGCUCAUGCAUCAGCGUGUGUAUUUUCUGUCUCUCUACAUGCAUGUUUCUUCUUAUCUAGCAGUUACUUGUUAACUAAUUUCUUUUUCCUCUCGGAUUUUUUUUUCCCAACUUUGAUUAUCAUAUUGUGAACUGUAUGAAAGUAUGAUUUAUGUUAACAUGCAUAGUUUAUUCUAAAUGCUAUGCUGAUAGGAUCCCAACCAUCUCAGCCGUUUUAUCCUCCGCAAAGUUAGAAAAUGUGAAGAAAAAGCUUGGAACAAUGUUAAAGCAAAGUAUCAAUAGCUUCAUGAUUUUAAUUCCUGAAAAUUCUAUGAUGUAUAGAACACCAAAUUUAGUUGAUUGUUUUAUUCUAACCCAGAAGAUAUACCGCAUGAUAAGGCACUGUAAAAUUCCAAUAGUUUAUACGAAACCUGUUUGAACAUACAUGGCGACAAUUUUUGACCGACUUUAUUGCAGUAUAUAAUAAAGGGCAAUCUAGGGCUUGCUCCAUAAGGUUUUCUUUUCUUCAGUAUGAAAUAUGAAAAGAACUUAUAGUUUACUAAUUUAUGGAAAAGAAUUGAUAUUAUAUUAAUUUAUAGUGCAGUAGUUCGGCCAGUUCAAGGGAAGCGGAGAAGGAAAAGGAAGAAGUCAAAAGUGUCUGGUGAUGAUAAAGAAUUCGGUGUGAUGCAGAAUAAGGAUCGUAAAACUGAAAUUGAUGAGUUUAGUCCAUCUAAUUUGAAAGAGGUCAUGUUGGUUUCAGAAACUGUAAAAGAAGCAUCAGCAAGUGAAGUUUCAAUGCCACUAAUUGAGAAAGCGACAAAUUCUGCAGCCGCUGGUAAUCAAUCUUUACCAAAUCUUGAAGAUAUGGAAGCAUUGAGUAAAAAUAGCAAAUCUUCUGAUUCCAACAAUCGAAAUCCAUUAGUCGGCGAGAAAGAAGUCGAUGUCAAAGGAGUAAACACCAAUUCGGCCUCUAAAGGCGUUACAUUGACGUAUAAAAAGAGAAACAACAGGGCCACUGGGAAGUGGAAACAAAAGACCUCAUCUCAUGUUUCCGAAAACAACAGGGGCACUGAGAAGGGGAAACAAAGGACCCCAUCUUAUGUUUCUGAAAAUGUUGAUAGCUCUCCUACGCUGGAAGCUGCAAAUGCUGACCUAGUGUGCAAGAGAAAUAAUGAGGAAGCAUCCAUGAGUGGCAAUCUAAUCCUCUCAACUAACAAAGAAAAUUCAUCAACAACUGCUGAUGAUGAGAAGGUGGAGAUAACCAAAUCAGAACUUGAUGCUCCUAAAAACUCUCAUGAGGUUAAAAGCACUAAUUCUAGGCAAGUUAAGAAGUAUAGAAGAAGAAGAAGAAAGAGUAAGUCCUCUAACAGUGAAGCAUCUGUUUUGAAUGAGUCAAAAUCUGCCUUAGAAAGGGAAACCAGUAACUUAAUUUCAACAGCUGAGAUUGGUCAAAAUAAUAUCUCAGGAUGUGAAAGAAAGAAAAACAAGGGAAAGAAAAAGGUUUUUGACAAAAAUAGUUCGGAAGUUGAUCAGAAUGCUUCAUCUGCUGCAAUAUUGUCCUCAUUAGAAGAUGUGAAAGUAACAGACAAGAGGAGUAACGUGGAUGUAUCCAUAAAUGACAACAUGGUGUCAAAUUGUGAGACUUCUGAAGGAUUCAGUAAUUCUGCAGAGGAAAACACUAAAAUUGACACAAUUGACCGCAAGGAGGGAGCAAGUUUGCCUCCGUCGCCUAUUAGAGGUGUCAUAGAUUCUUCUUCCUCUUUAUGUGUACCAGUAAACAAGAACAAUAAUUUGGCUUCUAAUGAGGAAAGUGUUAAUUUCUCUUUCCAAAUAGGAGGCGACAUUCUCACGAAUGACUUAACUGUGAAAGAUGCUGUUGAGACGUGCAAAUCAAGAAGCAGAGAUAGUUCUCAAAUUUGUGCAUGCAUUCAGGAUAAUACAAAUGAAAGUGAGAAGGGAAUAGAUUUGUCACCGACUAACCUUGCUCAUAAGAAUUCUACCUCUGCAGAUGAAAUUGAGGACCAAGAUAAGAAGCUUAAGGCAAUCUCUUUGUCGCCCAAAGAGUCAAUACUAAGCCAUCAGAAAAAGCUCCUUGUUCUUGAUCUUAAUGGUUUGCUUGCUGACAUCAACCAGGACUACCGCAAUGCUCAUAAAGCAGAUAGGAAGGUUAACGGCAAAUUCGGUAAUAUGUAAUGCUGAACUUUGGCCUGGAACAAAGUUUUCUCUGUUAGAUUGCAUUGAUUUAGGUAAUGCUAAUGUUUUGUUUUUUUUUUGUUUUUUUUUUUUUUUUUGCUUUAUUGAUCAGUUUUUAAGAGGCCUUUUUGCGAUGAGUUUUUGGAUUUUUGCUUUCGGAACUUCAAGAUAGGUGUCUGGUCAUCAAGGAAAAUGUAUGUCUACAUCAAUUUGGCUCAUCAUUUCUUCACUUAUUUCUGAUUCAUUAGUUUCUCCUAUCAACUGACAUUUCUCUAGUAUGGCAUCCCACAAUUCAGGAUAUACAUAUUUAGUCAUUGUAAAAUUUCUUUCUAGCAGUGAAAUUUUAAACUUAAUGAUGGAUGAUUUUUUAAAAUUUUGUGCAGGUACAAUGUCAACUACAUUGUUGAUUUUCUUAUGGGAAAUCUGAAAGAUAAGCUAUUAUUUUGUUGGGUGAGUAGUACCAGAACUCUAAUUGACCAUGAUGUGCCUCACUUUAUUCUUCUUUUGUUAAUGCAUAAUAUAAUCCUUGAUUAAUAACUGUCUCUUUAUUGCCUCCACUUUUCGACAUUGUAUUGCAAAGGUAUAUAUUUCCUAGAUUUCAUUUACACUUGAUGAGUUGUUCAUUUCUUGGAGAAAUGUUAUGCAAUGGAUUUUCUUCAAUGUUUAUGCAUCACUUGUAACCGUAACAUACAUACUCCAAAGUUAGUGACAUGAAUUGCUUAAGAUGUCCUGUUGAACUGUCUAGUAAAAGUUUUUUAGUCUGUCCUUUGGCCUUUUACUUCUACAGCUCAUGUCAAUAAUGGAAACUGAACAAAAGAUAGAUAUUUGAAUCUUGAGGAGGCAUAUCGAAUGGAAAUUAAUUGUUCGUCGGAAGUUUUUAAAUUUAAUGGCGUGUAUUAGCUUAGUUUCUCUUUGUCACACCAUCAUCUUGUAACAAAUUAAUUACCGUUUCCCAUUUCUUUCCCAAGAAAGCACAAUUUUGUUACAAUUAUCUGCUAGUUUUGUUAAAUGUCUGCAGAAAAAUUGAAUCAUGAUUUUGCUUCUCUAGGCAGCAUGUGGAUAUUCCCUUAUUUUUCCUUCCUUAUGAUACCUUUUCUCUUUUUUCUUUUUUUUUUUGGUUUUCGGAAAGAUGGGUUGAAACAGAGUCGAGUGAUUAUUGACAGGCCCAGGAAGUAAGAAAUGGGCUAUUAAAAUCUUCUUCCAAUUUAAUUUUAGUUUUUCGUUGAGUUUCAAGUCUUUCUAGACUGUUAGAGAUAUAUAUUAAAUCUAGUAUACUUUUAUGCUGAAGGGGUCCUUGAAAUUUUUUUUCUUUUUUUGUUGUGGAUGGAGGUCCUACGUAUUGAGUAAACUUGCAGUAGAUUAGAGCCCUUUUUCUUGUAUAAGAGGUUAUGCUGCAUAGUAGAGUGGGAUUUGUUCCCUGAGUCCUGUUGUCGUCCUUGGUUACAGUCUUUAAUUUUUUUAUUUUUUUAUUUUUGUUAUUGGGCUUAUUCAUAAGCAAUUUUUUGGCUAAUGGUUUCAGUUUGCUUGUUAUACUUUGGACAGGACCAAUCGAAAUGCACUCUUACUGGGUAUAGGACCAUCGAGAACGUGCAUAAGCCAUUGGUUUUGAAGGAACUGAAAAAACUAUGGAACAAAGAUGAGCCAGAUCUUCCAUGGGAGAAGGGAGAGUACUCGGAAUCAAACACCUUACUUGUGGAUGAUUCUCCUUACAAGGCUCUGUGCAAUCCAGUAAUUAGUUCACCAUUUUCUUUUUUUCAUAUUUGGCUCUCUUUAAUGAAUUCUUAUAACCUAAUUAUGGUAUAGUCGUUGAUCAUUGCCCUGAUACCUUCUGAUGCUAUGCAGCCGCAUACUGCUAUUUUUCCUCACCCGUAUUACUUUAGCGAUCGAAAUGAUAACUCUUUGGGUAAGCCCUUCAUAUUAAGCCAAACCAAAUAAUGUAUUCCUAUAUUGUUGUACGCUAAUGUGCUUAUGUUUGCAAGCAGGGCAAGGAGGAGAUCUUCGUGUUUAUUUGGAAAAAUUAGCUGUGUGCGAUGAUGUUCGAUGUUUUGUUCGAGAAAACCCCUUUGGUCAGCCAGCUAUAUCCGAUUCCGAUCCCUCAUGGAAAUUUUACCUCCAAGUUAUUGAUAAAAUGGAGAAUAUAUCAGCUUCAGCCUUGUGAUUUUGGUCUUGUCGUAUUUGACCUUAAUAGUCUUCUAGAUAUUGAAGAAGCCCUCUUAGUACUUACAGACUUUGUACAGAGAUAGAUGGUAAGCAUAUUAAGUUUGAUCAAGAAGAAUAAUAAUUUUUGGUGAGAGCUCUUUUUAUCAAUCUGUUCAUUUUGAAGAGCUAGCUAUUAUGUCCCUCGAGUUUCAGGUGCCUCCUAUCGACAAAAUCGCACUGUUGUUGUAACAAAAGCUAGUUAUUUUGUAGCAGUAUCACUUUUGUUUCAGUUUUGUAAAGGACAGUUGCUAUCCAUAAUUUUUGUUUAAUUGUUUUGCAGCAUUUAACUAUAACUGUAGAGUGGUAGGAAAUUGUAGAAUUCAGAGAUAUUUAUUAUUAUUUUGUGAAAUGUUUUACUUUUAUUUGAAAAUGGUUUUUCGAGAAUCUGAUGGUGUAUCAAGAAAUGAUUGAUUAGUUAAGCACAAAUUUUACUUCCUAGCUAAAUGCCUCGUUCUGAUUAGUUAUUGGUUUGAGUUUCUUAUAAUUUUGAUGGAUUGAUUUUUUUUUCAUAUAUAUUUACUUCCCAAAUCAGCUAUUUCUGCUGUUAUAGGUACAGGGACAGCCAAAAAAAAAAGUGUUAAUUUCAUGUGUCCUACGAAGUUCUAAAAUUACGGAUUUAUUUAGGCAAAACUUUUAUUAUCAAAUAUAUCUCUCCAAAGCUUCAAAAUAUACAAACUUAUUUCAAUAUGUUGACUGUUGUUAGUUGAGUUAAAUUUUCUUCAGCAGAACCCUUAUAUUUUUAUAAAAAAAAAGUUCUUUUUUAUAAUUUAUAACUUAUAAUUAAGUUUUAAUAAUAUAAAAAAGAGAGCAAAAAUAUUAUAAUUGAUAAAUAAUUUUAAAUAUAAUUAAAAAAUUUUCUCAAAGAAAAGAAUGACACUUUUAUAGACAAAAAGUUAAUUUUAAUCGAUCAAACUAACGAAGAGAGAUAUUUGCAACACUUUUGUAGAGAUGCAUAUGCAAUUAACCUCUCCUCCACCCACCCAAAACCCAAAAAUAAAUAAAUAAAUAAAUAAAUUUCAAGUACAAGGUAUCAGAUUGGUUCAAAAGGACUUUUUUCGAAAAUAACCCUGUAAAAUUUCGUAUUUGCCAAACUAACCCUGUGAAAUUUUUAUUUGUGAAACUAACCCUCCUCUCGCCACGUGGGCGCCACGUCAGGGAUUCCUCAAAAAGACGGUGAAUCGUUCACCGUCUUUGAUAUUUGUUGUGAAGGCGGUGAAUGGUUCACCGUCUUCAUAAGACGGUGAACAAUUCACCCUCUUAGUACAAAUCCCUAUACUGCGCAAAUCUUUCUAAGUUCAUAAUAUGGUGUCCUUGAUAAGACGGUGAAUCGUUCCCCGUCUUCUCGAGGUUACAGAAAAGGCGGAUUUGAGAGGGCGGAAAGGGAAAAGGGCGGAAAGAGAAAUUUUGCACUAAAGGCGGUGAAUGGUUUACCGUCUUCUAAAGACGGUGAACCAUUCACCGCUUUUAAACAAAAAUUACAAAGACGGUGAACGAUUCAUCGCCUUUUUGAGAAAUCCCUGACGUGGCACCCACGUGGCGAAAGGAGGAUUAGUUUUACAAAUAAAAUUUCACGAGGUUAGUUUGGCAAAUAUGAACUUUCACAGGGUUAUUUUCGAAAAAAGUCCGUUCAAAAUUUUCCUGCCAUAUAUUUCUCAAGGCCCAUCCUUUCUCAAAUUUUACGCCAAAAUUUUUUUUCCUGCCAUACAUUUCUCAAGUAGGCCUAUCCUUUCUCAAAUUUUACCCCAAAAUAUUUCCUACAACGACCAAACUAAAUAUAAUAAAAUUUAAUUUUUUUAUCGCAUUCAGUUUGUACAUAAUGACCAAAUUUAAUAUAGCAUAAAUCCUUGUUGAGCAUAUAAUUGUUGUUGAUACUUAAAGCAUCCAUACAAACACUUGGCACAACAAAAUCAUUUGGAAAUAAACAAUUAACCAUAUAUUCACACAACAGUUCUUUUAGUACAACAACAGUGUAAGAGAUGUGCAUGUAUGGCAGAGAAAACAACUUACAACAAUCUAUGAACAAUUAACAAACUAGCUAUUAUAUUUUUCUCAACUUUACAAUCUAUCUACUGAAGCAAAGGCUUGAGCAACAGCUCCAUGGAAUGCACUUUAUUUAGAAAUGAAUUAACAAAGAGGCUCAAAUCUCGAUCAUCUGCGUAUGAACAACUGAUGCAGAGUUACAGACCAACAACGAACGACUGCAUAUUUUGGGGCUCGCCUGGACAUCAUAAUCGCGAUCUUGGUGAUCAUCGAUUGCCCAAAAGAGAGACACAGUACAUCAAUAGGUGAAUCACAAAGAAACAGAUCCAAAACAAACACAAAGGGUGUAUAAUGAAGUGUUAAAGACCAGCUGGUGCAGUUAAAUUCUCAUCUCCAGUAUGGUGGAAGAUAAUCAUCUUCAUACAAUCUUCUAGAGAUUUUGAUUUAAUCAGGUAGCACAAUUAUACACAGAUUCCAAAUAUUGUGUUGAUAAACCACUUCAAUGAUACAAAAAGAAAUAGGCCUCUGAUAAACCACUUCAAUGACACAAAAAGAAAUUGGCCUUGUUUGGCCUAGCGGUGCGACCCGGUUGAUUCGGAGCUGUCUCAAAUUCCCACCUUUUUGCAGUUGCGCGCAGUAAACGUGGCUCUAACAGCGCAGCCAAACAGGCGUGUAAUCCAGUACUAGAACGGUAAAGUAGGAGAUGUGAGAGGAGAUAAGAGUCUAAGAAAUCAGCGAGGUCUGUAUCAGAAGAUUAUUCUGCAUGGUACAUGGAAAACAGUAAAUCACAAAAAAUAGCAUGCUAACACACAUGCAACAGUUCAAACCCAACGGCGGCCAUUACCAUACCGACAAAAAUCAAUUAAGACAUCACCUAGUGAAUACUAGACAUGAGUUAGGUGCACUCGUGAACAAACUUCAAUUCAAAUACCAACACUAAAGCUUCAUGCACUUCAAUAAAUUCUAGAACUCAAACCACUCAUAACUCAGAAGGACCAAAUAUAAAACCAUCCUUGUUAGGAUGGUUGAUUAGCAUUCCAACCAAACGGCCUAGUCAAAAAGCCAACGGUUUUCACUAGAAACCACAGCUAUUUUAGAGCUUUAUGAUCACUUCAGUAAUAAUUGAAGCCCAUGCUCAACAAUAUAAAGAUCCACAUAAGAUUUACAAAUUUCUAUAUGAUUAUCAAUCUAAGUCACUGCUUGCUUAGAGACUAAGAAUAGGAACAGUUAUAAAUAGCCCUGCUAGCCCUCCGAACACUAUGGUGUCAUAUAAUUACUAUCUCCACUUGGAAUUGAGGGGGGGAAGAUAUCCCCCUAGCAAGUUCAUCUCCAGGGAUACAAUUUCAUGAGGUGUGGUGGAAUUGCGCUAUCUCAAUAGCUAAUCCUUUAUCCCAACUAGUUCGCAAUAUCCCUAGCUAAACAGAAUGGGGAUAACAAUAUAACUCAAAUCCUCAUUCGAGAUACUCUUCACUUUCCUAGAGGUAAAGUUCCCCAUGCCAAACACUACCUAACACUGCCCUCUGAUAUUGCCAUUCCAUUACAGAUGAAAAAUAAAAUCAGGCUAGGAAGAAGCUUGUACGAUACCUCAAGCAGUUAGGCUGCUCACUGAUUAGAUGUUAUCAACAUUAUUGAUUGCUCUUUAAACUAAUGCAACAGGGAAAUACCGACAAAAGAGUUCAUCACGUACAAAGAUUGUAGAUAGAAGAUGUCAAAGGUAACCUUUCAUGCUCUGAUGCGAGGGAUAUGUUAAGACUUUUAUGUUCUUACAAAAAUGUGGAUAUUAUAUCUGCAUUCUCAGUAUGCGAAAACAUGUUUUGAAAAAUAAAGUCUCUUUCUUCCACAUUAGUUCUACUUCUCUAAAAUAUUGCACACUUGAUUUCUUCCACUAGACUUACGUCAAACAUUCCAAUCUAAAUGCAAAUUAUAUCUGCAUUCUCACUAUGUGAAAACAUGUUUUGAAAAAGAAAAUCUCUUUCUUCCACAUUAGUUCUACUUCUCUACAAAUAUUGCAUACUUGAUUUCUCCCACUAGAUUUACGUCAAGCAUUCCAAUCUAAAUGCAAAAGCACUCCGAUAUAGCGAAUACCUCAUAAGAGUUAGUUGCCUUCAACUUUCUAGAAUUGUCCUUAAUUCAUGUUCCAUGUCUAUUUUGUCCUUCCUAAUUGUAUCUCCGUUGUUCUGUAUACAACUAAAGGUGAAUAUAUGAUGGCAAAAAGUGGCUUCGAGUAUACAAACUUCUUCAGUAGAAGCAAGGUCUAGUAGUCCAUAUGGUUCAUAUACAAACAUAUACUAACAAUUUUGACACCAUAAGAGAAAAUAGAGAAGUUCUUACUAUGUUAAGUAUAUAAUUUACAAUUAAAAGAACUUAAUUCCAUAAAAAAUUGUCUACCACUCACUACAUUAUGGUUAAAGAUGAAAUUACUCUUCACUCUUUGAACGAGAAAUUACAAGAAUUCACCGCACUAAGAUCAUUACCCGACAGGAACAUUUCAACAUACCUCAAUCCUAUUAUAAAAUUUGUCCAUCAGGGGAGGUUAGCAAUAUCACCAGUCUCAAUACACUCUGACAACUGUGGUACAAGUCCAUAUUGGGAAAAGCCCGUCUACAAGGAUUUAAGAGACUGAGCUAAUUCAUGUGGGUUCUCCAUGGCCUCCUUCAGGAUCAUCCCUGCUCUCCGCUUCUUGUCAUCCUUCUCAUCAUCCUUCAAAAACCAUGAAUCCCUUUUAGCAUCCAAAGCACCCAAAGACAGUGGCACCACCAAAGAUUUCCUAUCAACCCCUAUCUUGAAAUGCACUGUAGGCCUAUUGGUCGGUAGAGCCCUUUUCUCGUCAACUCCGCCAUCAACUCUCCCACUCUGCACUGCUUCAAUAGCAGGUGCAAAAGUCUCCAUCACCGACAACCUCUUAUUAGUAGGAGCUUCACUAGGAAUAGCAAUCUCCGACACUUCCUUCUCCCCAGAUGGCACGGGCGGGGCAAGAAAUGGAUUGUUUCCAACCACCUGUUUCCCCUUAUCCAUUUCAGCAUCACCAACAGGGGUAAACCCUGCAGAACCACUGAAAGCCAGCCUCUUAUGUAAGCUUAACAAAGACCUCUCCGCCUUCCUCCUCUGCCUCACUUGCUCAACCUUAUCCGCUUGCGGGUCAGCUGUCCUUUCAUUCCAUACGGCUGUGUGGACAUAAGUAUGUGGGUCAGGGAAUUCCGGAAGCCACUCUGGUAUGUUUUGCUCCUUCGGUUCCUUCCCAACAUUAGCAAAACUAGGUAUCAGUUUUGGCUUCGGAACAAUAGGAAAUUUUGGUACAGGCCGGGCAAAUGGGAUUUCCUCCUUUGUAUUAACAAAGCUAGCGAGAUCUCGUACGACACCAGAACUCAUCAAGCAAUGGUGAACAUCCGAAGCACCGGAAAACCCCUGCGACAAAUUGAGAUCCUCCAGACCUUGAAUGACAUCAGACACAUCGCAAUCCGUCCUUCCCGAUAGAUUAGCAUGAAAGGUCGCAGCUUCCCCUAAAUUACGAAUGUACCUGAUAGCAACAUCAGCUAGGGCAUCUAGAGCUGAAGCAUGGGAGCUGUGGAACCCAAUCGACUCCAAGAUUUGGACGAUGGCGAUCUUGGAGAUUGAACGGCCGAACUCAUCGCUAACAAAAGGCUUGGUCUUGUUCAAAUUAUUUUGGUUGUCCUUGCCGCUCUCCCGACCUCCAUCGCUCAUAUUCAACUAAAAUCAUAUCAUCGGUGCGCCCAAAUUCAACUCUUCACCACCUUCAACCACAACCCCCUCAUCAGAGGCUUCAGAAAGGGUUACCCCAACGACUCCACCGUUCCGGAUUGAGAUCGAUCUGAAGAAGCGGUUUGCACAGUACUCGUUUUUCCAAACCCUAGAUAGCAAUAGCAUUACAAACGGGGGCUCAAAGAAGCUCGGCUACUCACCGUUGAGCUCUCGGCGAAGAAAUGGAACCCACCAUGGAUCUCCGCAGCUGCAGCUCCGAGAUCGCGCGGAUCAAAGAGAGUUAUCGAUCAAUUGAACCCUAGAAGAGCAAAAAAUAAUAAUAAUAAUAAACUAGGGUUUGUGGCAAAUAGAAUAGGAGAAGAAAGAAUCUAGGGUUUGCUCGACCGUUAGGGUUUUGAAUUGGGGGGAAUCUAAAAAAAAUCAAAACCCUAAUUAGAGCUAGAGAGAGAGAGAGAGAGAGAGAGAGAGAAGGGAUCGAGUUGAAAAUGGGGAGGGAGGAUGGUGAUAUUUAUAGAGGCGGAGAGGGUUUCGGGGGACGAGUGUUCGCGAUCCACGAGGUGGAGGCGCAACGUAGCUUAUCCGGCCUCGCACACGUGGCGAUUAGCCGUUGGUGGAAUGGCGAAUACAUAGAUUUGACCUGGAAUAGGGGCUUCGCCCACCACGUCACCCGUGAACCGCGCUGCGUCUAAACUGAUGAGUGCGGUCCACGGAUGACGUGGUGAACCGGAUCCAGUGGAUGUACUGUCAUGUUUGAGGUGGAUGGGGAUUGUUUCGGGUCCACAGUUCGGAAGAGCGCGGCGUGCACGGCACGCAUGCUUGGUGGACCCGGUGCACCAAUGGGACAAAGCCCUCUCUAUCAAUGGACGCAAAUGGGCCGACCCAUUUAUGGAGUUCGCAAUACAUGGGCCGUAUUCUUGGGCCGGCCUUGUAAAAAUCAUCAUAGAACUUCUGAACCAGUGCUAUUUGAGCUUUUUUAGAAAGCGCUUUUGAUUUGAUCAUCGUUUGACUUACCUGUACAGUGUACAGUGCAGUGUUGUUUAUUGAACUGUCGUCGGUAUCAAGCUAUUACGAUAAGCUCUACGUUAAUAUAUCUCCAACAAUUUCUUUCUAAAAUUAAUGUAUCAAACUUCUGUUUUUGAGAUUCAAAAUUAUCAUUUUUAUUUUUUGCUAUGAUAAAAUUUUGGAUUUUUAUUCUUACUAUACGGCACACACUCUGCCGGAGAGGAUAGCUAUGAAAAAUAGAAACAGAAGCAGAACCAAACAAGCUUUUUGAUUUUAAUCGGCUUUGGCAGUUCAAGUACAUGGUACAGAAUCAAAUAUGAAGUCGGCACUUCGCCCACUUAUUCCACCGUAUUCACGUCAGAUUCGGCAUUUUCUAUGCUUGCGCGGCCGAAUCAACCAAAACUCGCGCAAGUGCAAGUCCCCUAGAGUCUGCAAUUUCGAGCCUCUCGCCACCGAGUUCGUAUUGAACUCGAACUCGGCGUCUUCACAGAUGUGGCCACCGGCUUCAAGUUAAAAUCAGCUACUUCGAGAAUUUUGCCCCUUAAAAUCAGCCUUUCUAAACAGCUUUUGUUCCGGAUAGAUAAAAACUUACAAAAUUUACCUAAAUUAUAGAUCAUUUUUAAUAAGCUACUUAAGCUUUCAAAAUUUUGAUUUUACUACCCAAUCUAUCCAUUUGUUUGAUUUGAGCCAAUCAACAGUGCUUUAACUAUAAAAUUUGAAAGCAUUUGUUUAUAUUUACAGAUUUAGUUAGUAUAUUUCAUACAAUUUUUACAAUUAUAAAUUUUUUAAAAAUAAUUAUUUUAAAUUUUGAAGUAAAAGUGUAUGUAGGGCUGGCAAAUGAGCGAGCCGGCUCGCAUUCGACUCGCGUUCGACUCGAUAUUUGGCUCGCUCAAGCUCGAUUCGAAAUUAAAUGAGCCGAGCUUGAACCAAAAAAAUGGCUCGAAAUUCAUUUCAAGCCGAGCUUGAGUUUUACUUGGCUCGUUCGAAUUAGGCUCGAAAAGCUCGAAUAUAUAUAUAGUAGAACUACUAUGCUAUCGAAAGUAUAGAAGAUCUGGUGCUUUCGAUUUUUUGAUUCUUAGAUCAACCCCUUUAAUCAUUUCUUAUCUUUGGAUUAAUACUAUUAUUACCUUGUAUGGACCACUCAAUCCUAGGGNCUCAAAUCAAACAAGUUGCUAGGUUGGAUAGUAAAUUUAAUCAAGAUUUUGAAAGAUUGGAUAGCCGAUUCAAAAUAAUUUAUAAUUCAGACAAGUUUUGUACAUUUUUACCUUCUAGAUUUUAUUUGCUUCUUUAUUUAAUUUAAA
Molecule: long non-coding RNA, 44181 nt
Filed under: Ananas comosus (pineapple)
Lineage: Eukaryota; Viridiplantae; Streptophyta; Magnoliopsida; Poales; Bromeliaceae
Description: long non-coding RNA (ACOM_LNC006656)
Source: RNAcentral